AGAGUUUGCUCCUGGCUCUGGACGAACGCUGGCGGCGCGCCUAACACAUGCAAGUCGAACGAGCGAGAGAGAGCUUGCUUUCUCGAGCGAGUGGCGAACGGGUGAGUAACGCGUGAGGAACCUGCCUCAAAGAGGGGGACAACAGUUGGAAACGACUGCUAAUACCGCAUAAGCCCACAGCUCGGCAUCGAGCAGAGGGAAAAGGAGCAAUCCGCUUUGAGAUGGCCUCGCGUCCGAUUAGCUAGUUGGUGAGGUAACGGCCCACCAAGGCGACGAUCGGUAGCCGGACUGAGAGGUUGAACGGCCACAUUGGGACUGAGACACGGCCCAGACUCCUACGGGAGGCAGCAGUGGGGAAUAUUGCACAAUGGGGGAAACCCUGAUGCAGCGACGCCGCGUGGAGGAAGAAGGUCUUCGGAUUGUAAACUCCUGUUGUUGAGGAAGAUAAUGACGGUACUCAACAAGGAAGUGACGGCUAACUACGUGCCAGCAGCCGCGGUAAAACGUAGGUCACAAGCGUUGUCCGGAAUUACUGGGUGUAAAGGGAGCGCAGGCGGGAAGACAAGUUGGAAGUGAAAUCUAUGGGCUCAAGCUAUAAACUGCCUUCAAAACUGUGUUUCUUGAGUAGUGCAGAGGUACGCGGAAUUCCCGGUGUACCGGUGGAAUGCGUAGAUAUCGGGAGGAACACCAGUGGCGAAGGCGGUCUACUGGGCACCAACUGACGCUGAGGCUCGAAAGUGUGGGUAGCAAACAGGAUUAGAUACCCUGGUAGUCCACACCGUAAACGAUGAUUACUAGGUGUUGGAGGAUUGACCCCUUCAGUGCCGCAGUUAACACAAUAAGUAAUCCACCUGGGGAGUACGACCGCAAGGUUGAAACUCAAAGGAAUUGACGGGGGCCCGCACAAGCAGUGGAGUAUGUGGUUUAAUUCGACGCAACGCGAAGAACCUUACCAAGUCUUGACAUCCUGCGACGGACAUAGAAAUAUGUCUUUCCUUCGGGACGCAGAGACAGGUGGUGCAUGGUUGUCGUCAGCUCGUGUCGUGAGAUGUUGGGUUAAGUCCCGCAACGAGCGCAACCCUUACUGUCAGUUACUACGCAAGAGGACUCUGGCAGGACUGCCGUUGACAAAACGGAGGAAGGUGGGGAUGACGUCAAAUCAUCAUGCCCUUUAUGACUUGGGCUACACACGUACUACAAUGGCGUUAAACAAAGAGAAGCAAGACCGCGAGGUGGAGCAAAACUCAGAAACAACGUCCCAGUUCGGACUGCAGGCUGCAACUCGCCUGCACGAAGUCGGAAUUGCUAGUAAUCGUGGAUCAGCAUGCCACGGUGAAUACAUUCCCGGGCGUGUACACACCGCCCGUCA
RNAcentral lists this ribosomal RNA (1369 nucleotides) under uncultured bacterium. RNAcentral describes it as "16S ribosomal RNA". It matches the Rfam family "Bacterial small subunit ribosomal RNA". The record is from RNAcentral.